This 1555-nucleotide ribosomal RNA is filed under the name Shigella flexneri. Its description in RNAcentral is "bacterial SSU rRNA". It matches the Rfam family "Bacterial small subunit ribosomal RNA". Lineage: Bacteria; Pseudomonadati; Pseudomonadota; Gammaproteobacteria; Enterobacterales; Enterobacteriaceae. The record is from RNAcentral.
AAAUUGAAGAGUUUGAUCAUGGCUCAGAUUGAACGCUGGCGGCAGGCCUAACACAUGCAAGUCGAACGGUAACAGGAAGCAGCUUGCUGCUUCGCUGACGAGUGGCGGACGGGUGAGUAAUGUCUGGGAAACUGCCUGAUGGAGGGGGAUAACUACUGGAAACGGUAGCUAAUACCGCAUAACGUCGCAAGACCAAAGAGGGGGACCUUCGGGCCUCUUGCCAUCGGAUGUGCCCAGAUGGGAUUAGCUUGUUGGUGGGGUAACGGCUCACCAAGGCGACGAUCCCUAGCUGGUCUGAGAGGAUGACCAGCCACACUGGAACUGAGACACGGUCCAGACUCCUACGGGAGGCAGCAGUGGGGAAUAUUGCACAAUGGGCGCAAGCCUGAUGCAGCCAUGCCGCGUGUAUGAAGAAGGCCUUCGGGUUGUAAAGUACUUUCAGCGGGGAGGAAGGGAGUAAAGUUAAUACCUUUGCUCAUUGACGUUACCCGCAGAAGAAGCACCGGCUAACUCCGUGCCAGCAGCCGCGGUAAUACGGAGGGUGCAAGCGUUAAUCGGAAUUACUGGGCGUAAAGCGCACGCAGGCGGUUUGUUAAGUCAGAUGUGAAAUCCCCGGGCUCAACCUGGGAACUGCAUCUGAUACUGGCAAGCUUGAGUCUCGUAGAGGGGGGGUAGAAUUCCAGGUGUAGCGGUGAAAUGCGUAGAGAUCUGGAGGAAUACCGGUGGCGAAGGCGGCCCCCUGGACGAAGACUGACGCUCAGGUGCGAAAGCGUGGGGAGCAAACAGGAUUAGAUACCCUGGUAGUCCACGCCGUAAACGAUGUCGACUUGGAGGUUGUGCCCUUGAGGCGUGGCUUCCGGAGCUAACGCGUUAAGUCGACCGCCUGGGGAGUACGGCCGCAAGGUUAAAACUCAAAUGAAUUGACGGGGGCCCGCACAAGCGGUGGAGCAUGUGGUUUAAUUCGAUGCAACGCGAAGAACCUUACCUGGUCUUGACAUCCACGGAAGUUUUCAGAGAUGAGAAUGUGCCUUCGGGAACCGUGAGACAGGUGCUGCAUGGCUGUCGUCAGCUCGUGUUGUGAAAUGUUGGGUUAAGUCCCGCAACGAGCGCAACCCUUAUCCUUUGUUGCCAGCGGUCCGGCCGGGAACUCAAAGGAGACUGCCAGUGAUAAACUGGAGGAAGGUGGGGAUGACGUCAAGUCAUCAUGGCCCUUACGACCAGGGCUACACACGUGCUACAAUGGCGCAUACAAAGAGAAGCGACCUCGCGAGAGCAAGCGGACCUCAUAAAGUGCGUCGUAGUCCGGAUUGGAGUCUGCAACUCGACUCCAUGAAGUCGGAAUCGCUAGUAAUCGUGGAUCAGAAUGCCACGGUGAAUACGUUCCCGGGCCUUGUACACACCGCCCGUCACACCAUGGGAGUGGGUUGCAAAAGAAGUAGGUAGCUUAACCUUCGGGAGGGCGCUUACCACUUUGUGAUUCAUGACUGGGGUGAAGUCGUAACAAGGUAACCGUAGGGGAACCUGCGGUUGGAUCACCUCCUUACCUUAAAGAAGC